RNAcentral lists this ribosomal RNA (888 nucleotides) under uncultured Bacillota bacterium. Its description in RNAcentral is "bacterial SSU rRNA". It matches the Rfam family "Bacterial small subunit ribosomal RNA", at positions 29 to 916 of the family's 1533-position model. The record is from RNAcentral. Lineage: Bacteria; Bacillati; Bacillota.
ACGAACGCUGGCGGCGUGCUUAACACAUGCAAGUCGAACGAGAAUCUGUGGAUCGAGGAUUCGUCCAAGUGAAGCAGAGGACAGUGGCGGACGGGUGAGUAACGCGUGAGGAACCUGCCUUUCAGAGGGGGACAACAGUUGGAAACGACUGCUAAUACCGCAUGAUACGUUUUAGGGGCAUCCCUGAGACGUCAAAGAUUUAUCGCUGAAAGAUGGCCUCGCGUCUGAUUAGCUAGUUGGUGAGGUAACGGCCCACCAAGGCGACGAUCAGUAGCCGGACUGAGAGGUUGACCGGCCACAUUGGGACUGAGAUACGGCCCAGACUCCUACGGGAGGCAGCAGUGGGGAAUAUUGGGCAAUGGGCGCAAGCCUGACCCAGCAACGCCGCGUGAAGGAAGAAGGCUUUCGGGUUGUAAACUUCUUUUAAGAGGGAAGAGCAGAAGACUGUACCUCUAGAAUAAGCCACGGCUAACUACGUGCCAGCAGCCGCGGUAAUACGUAGGUGGCAAGCGUUGUCCGGAUUUACUGGGUGUAAAGGGCGUGCAGCCGGGAAUGCAAGUCAGAUGUGAAAUCCAUGGGCUUAACCCAUGAACUGCAUUUGAAACUGUAUUUCUUGAGUACUGGAGAGGCAAUCGGAAUUCCUAGUGUAGCGGUGAAAUGCGUAGAUAUUAGGAGGAACACCAGUGGCGAAGGCGGAUUGCUGGACAGCAACUGACGGUGAGGCGCGAAAGUGUGGGGAGCAAACAGGAUUAGAUACCCUGGUAGUCCACACUGUAAACGAUGAAUACUAGGUGUGCGGGGACUGACCCCCUGCGUGCCGCAGUUAACACAAUAAGUAUUCCACCUGGGGAGUACGAUCGCAAGGUUGCAACUCAAAGGAAUUGACGG